Molecule: long non-coding RNA, 300 nt
Filed under: Physcomitrium patens
Lineage: Eukaryota; Viridiplantae; Streptophyta; Bryopsida; Funariales; Funariaceae
Description: long non-coding RNA (PPAT_LNC000626)
Source: RNAcentral
AGGGGUGAAAGAAAGAUAUGGAUGGAUGAAAGCAAAACAUAAAGGUCUUUAUUCCUAUUGAUUGAAGGCCAUGCCCAAUAGGCAUUCAACAAGUAGUCUAUGACCAUAACAAGGAUUUUGGAGACUUUAGAAGGGGCAUUUGAGUCUCAAAAGCAAAAAUUUUAAGGUUUAGGAUUUGAGCUAUAAUUUAUGUAAAAAGUUUAGAGGAUUUGAAGUUAAAGUGAUAAAGUUAUAGCUAUUUGAAGUUAAUCUUUUUAAAAUAGCACAUAUAAAUCAAAGGCAAUAAGUGAUUUGUUUUGG